RNAcentral lists this ribosomal RNA (1326 nucleotides) under Triticum aestivum (bread wheat). RNAcentral describes it as "partial small subunit ribosomal RNA". Lineage: Eukaryota; Viridiplantae; Streptophyta; Magnoliopsida; Poales; Poaceae. The record is from RNAcentral.
AUGGAUGCUGCUGCCGGUGGUGCGGCAGGCGGGCUGGAGGUGGUGGUGUUCCCGUGGCUAGCGUUCGGGCACAUGAUCCCUUUUCUUGAGCUCUCAAAGCGCCUGGCGGAGAGGGGCAACGCCGUCACCUUCGUGUCCACGCCACGGAACCUCGCGAGGCUCCCGCCCAUGCCGGCGCACCUGUCAGCCCGCCUCCGCUUCAUGCCGCUGCAGCUGCCGGCCGUGGAGGGGCUGCCGGAGGGCGCCGAGUCAACGGCCGACGUGCCGACCGACAAGAUCGACCUGCUCAAGAAGGCCAUGGACGGGCUCGCGGCCCCGCUCGCGGCUUUUCUCAUGGACACCGUCGCCGCCGGGAGGAGGCCGGACUGGAUCGUCCUCGACUUCUGCCACAACUGGGUGCCGCCCAGCGCCCAUCGCCGACCAGCACAAGGUAGCAUGCGGCCUGUUCCAGAUCCUCCAUGCCGCCUUCGUGGCCUUUCUGGGGCCGCGUUGGGCGAACGCCGCGCACCCGCGCACGGAGCCGGAGCACUUCACCGUGCCGCCCAAGUCUUCGAGCGUUGCCGCCUCGUCAUCUGCCGUAGCUGCCAUGAGCUGGAGCCCCGGAUGUUCGCCCUCCUCUCCAAUCUCUUACGGAAGCCCGCCGUCCCCUCCGGGAUUCUGUUACCGGCGGCACCCGACGACCACCGGAAUAGCAGCUCAGGUGGCGUCGACCCUCACCACGUCCUGCGAUGGCUCGACGACCAGCCUCCCAAGUCUGUCAUCUACGUCGCGCUGGGGACCGAGGCGCCACUGACGCUAGAGAACAUCCAUGAACUCGCGCUCGGGCUGGAGCUCGCCGAGGUGCGAUUCCUCUGGCUGCUAGGCAAGCCUGCCGGAAGCAACAAAGUCGCCGGGCCAUUGCCGGCCGGGUUCGAGGAGCGGACGCGGGCGCGCGGUGUCGUCUGCACAGGGUGGGUGCCACAGAUGAAGGCGCUCGCGCACGACGCCACGGGCGCGUUCCUAACACACUGCGGGUGGGGCUCCACCAUCGAGAGCUUUGCGUUUGGGCUUCCACUGGUCAUGCUCCCGUUCAUCAUCGACACGCCUAUCAUCGCACGGUCGAUGGUGCAGAGAGGGAUCGGUGUGCAGGUGGCGAGAGACGAGAGAGACGGCUCCUUCAACAGGGACGGCGUCGCCACAGCGGUGCGGCGCGUCAUGUCGGAGUAUGAGGGAAAGGUGUUGGCGACCAAUGCCAAGAAGCUGAAGGAGGUUGUCGUGGACGAGGGGCGCCAGGAGCAGUACAUCCACGAGCUCGAGGAACACCUGAGACGCUACAAAGACGUGUAA